GAUGAACGCUAGCGGCAGGCCUAAUACAUGCAAGUCGAACGAAGCAGCAAUGCUUAGUGGCGCACGGGUGCGUAACGCGUAUGCAAUCUGCCCUUCACUGGGGGAUAACCUUCCGAAAGGAAGGCUAAUACCGCAUAAGACUACGGUACGGCAUCGUAUAGUGGUAAAACUCCGGUGGUGAAGGAUGAGCAUGCGUCCAAUUAGUUAGUUGGUAGGGUAACGGCCUACCAAGACGAUGAUUGGUAGGGGGUCUGAGAGGAUGAUCCCCCACACUGGUACUGAGAUACGGACCAGACUCCUACGGGAGGCAGCAGUAGGGAAUAUUGGUCAAUGGAGGCAACUCUGAACCAGCCAUGCCGCGUGCAGGAAGAAGGCCCCUCUGGGUUGUAAACUGCUUUUGGACAGGAACAAAUGACUCUUGCGAGAGUAGCUGAGUGUACUGUCAGAAUAAGCCACGGCUAACUACGUGCCAGCAGCCGCGGUAA
Molecule: ribosomal RNA, 485 nt
Filed under: uncultured bacterium
Lineage: Bacteria
Description: bacterial SSU rRNA
Rfam family: Bacterial small subunit ribosomal RNA
Source: RNAcentral